GACGAACGCUGGCGGCGUGCUUAACACAUGCAAGUCGAGCGGUAAGGCCCUUCGGGGUACACGAGCGGCGAACGGGUGAGUAACACGUGGGUGAUCUGCCCUGUACUUCGGGAUAAGCCUGGGAAACUGGGUCUAAUACCGGAUAUGACCUGAGGUUGCAUGACUUCGGGUGGAAAGAUUUAUCGGUACAGGAUGGGCCCGCGGCCUAUCAGCUUGUUGGUGGGGUAAUGGCCUACCAAGGCGACGACGGGUAGCCGGCCUGAGAGGGCGACCGGCCACACUGGGACUGAGACACGGCCCAGACUCCUACGGGAGGCAGCAGUGGGAAUAUUGCACAAUGGGCGGAAGCCUGAUGCAGCGACGCCGCGUGCGGGAUGACGGCCUUCGGGUUGUAAACCGCUUUCGACAGGGACGAAGGGAAACUGACGGUACCUGUAGAAGAAGCACCGGCCAACUACGUGCCAGCAGCCGCGGUAAU
Molecule: ribosomal RNA, 478 nt
Filed under: uncultured bacterium
Lineage: Bacteria
Description: bacterial SSU rRNA
Rfam family: Bacterial small subunit ribosomal RNA
Source: RNAcentral